UGGAAAGAGGAUGCACCUGAGCUUUCGAGUCUCAUAGCAAGCUUUGGGUUUCUAGGGAAGCCUGAGCCAGUUCAGCUGCACCACCCUCAUGCACAAGGGUGCCAACAACGAGGAGGAGGAAGAUGAUGAUGACGAUGAAGACCCCGGCGUCCGUGGCGUCCAUGUUAGAAGCAGUAAGAACACCUUCAACGCAGCAGCCUCAGCCGUGCCAAUACAGCCGCCUCACGGGCCACCACAGAGGGAGUGUGUGACGGAGAAGUCCGUCACUGGCCGCGGGCAGCGUUUGGUACACUAACACACACACAUUCACCGCGCCUCCCUGCUCCGUUAUUAGCUCCGUUAACAAUGUGGGUCGACACACAAGUUAACUUCUCUAUCUUAGUACAUACAUUUCCCCCUUUAUUCUUACCUCCCGUCAGUAACAGUUCCUGGUAUAAAGAAUACACAGACAAGCGUUCAUGUUUAAUUUAAGCAACGUUUAUUGUACUUAUCAAUGUUAUGGACGUGCGCCUUGUUUGUUUGGUUCUGUUCCUCUCUCUCUCCAUCUCUGUAGCUUCCGGGUAUGCUGGGAUAAGGACCAGAGCUACRGUAAUCGGGCUGGCUUUGUAGUGCCUGUCUCGAAUGGCUCGUUCAUGUGAAUGAGCUUAUUGGAAGACUCCAUGUCAGUAGGGAUGGGAUUUUGUAAAUGUUAUAUUGGUAUAUUGUACCAUGAGAAACGUGUUGCAAAGUAUAUAAUUCAUGAUGUUUAGCUGAGUGGAAAAUGUAGGCUUUGAUGAAGGUAAUUGCUUAAUUAAUUAGUGCUGGGUAUGCUCUGAUGGGAGGGGCUUCCCCUACAAAAGGAGCCUCUCUUUCAGUUCAAGGGGGGAAACAUUUUGGAUUGAGCUGUUGAUGGGGCAGCAUUGUGUAUUAUUUUUUAAUUUUUUUUAAGCUGUCCCAUAAUGGGUACUUUAGAUGGCAGAACUGUUGUUUUUCUUCCAUAUUCACUAUGUAAAUAAACACCCGUGCACAGAA
This is a non-coding RNA of Salvelinus sp. IW2-2015, 1011 nucleotides long. Lineage: Eukaryota; Metazoa; Chordata; Actinopteri; Salmoniformes; Salmonidae. The record is from RefSeq and is a predicted model, not a curated record.